Molecule: ribosomal RNA, 395 nt
Filed under: uncultured bacterium
Lineage: Bacteria
Description: partial 16S ribosomal RNA
Rfam family: Bacterial small subunit ribosomal RNA
Source: RNAcentral
CCUACGGGAGGCAGCAGUGAGGAAUAUUGGUCAAUGGGCGUAAGCCUGAACCAGCCAAGCCGCGUGAGGGAUGAAGGUUCAAUGGAUCGUAAACCUCUUUUAUAAGGGAAUAAAGUGUGGGACGAGUCCUAUGAUGUAGGUACCUGAUGAAUAAGCAUCGGCUAACUCCGUGCCAGCAGCCGCGGUAAUACGGAGGAUCCGAGCGUUAUCCGGAUUUAUUGGGUUUAAAGGGUGCGUAGGCGGCCUUUUAAGUCAGCGGUGAAAGGCUGUGGCUCAACCAUAGAAUUGCCGUUGAAACUGGGGGGCUUGAGUUUGUUAGAGGCAGGCGGAAUGCGUGGUGUAGCGGUGAAAUGCUUAGAUAUCACGCAGAACCCCGAUUGCGAAGGCAGCGUGCC